GAUGAACGCUGGCGGCGUGCCUAAUACAUGCAAGUCGAGCGAAUGGAUUAAGAGCUUGCUCUUAUGAAGUUAGCGGCGGACGGGUGAGUAACACGUGGGUAACCUGCCCAUAAGACUGGGAUAACUCCGGGAAACCGGGGCUAAUACCGGAUAACAUUUUGAACCGCAUGGUUCGAAAUUGAAAGGCGGCUUCGGCUGUCACUUAUGGAUGGACCCGCGUCGCAUUAGCUAGUUGGUGAGGUAACGGCUCACCAAGGCAACGAUGCGUAGCCGACCUGAGGGGGGGAUCGGCCAAACUGGGACUGAGACACGGCCCAGACUCCUACGGGAGGCAGCAGUAGGGAAUCUUCCGCAAUGGACGAAAGUCUGACGGAGCAACGCCGCGUGAGUGAUGAAGGCUUUCGGGUCGUAAAACUCUGUUGUUAGGGAAGAACAAGUGCUAGUUGAAUAAGCUGACACCUUGACGGUACCUAACCAGAAAGCCACGGCUAACUACGUGCCAGCCGCCGCAGUAA
RNAcentral lists this ribosomal RNA (515 nucleotides) under uncultured bacterium. RNAcentral's name for it is "partial 16S ribosomal RNA". It matches the Rfam family "Bacterial small subunit ribosomal RNA", at positions 28 to 523 of the family's 1533-position model. The record is from RNAcentral.